This 440-nucleotide ribosomal RNA is filed under the name uncultured soil bacterium. RNAcentral describes it as "bacterial SSU rRNA". It matches the Rfam family "Bacterial small subunit ribosomal RNA", at positions 26 to 518 of the family's 1533-position model. The record is from RNAcentral.
AGAACGAACGCUGGCGGCAUGCCUAACACAUGCAGGUCGAACGAGACCUUCGGGUCUAGUGGCGCACGGGUGCGUAACGCGUGGGAAUCUGCCCUUCGGUUCGGAAUAACAGUUAGAAAUGACUGCUAAUACCGGAUAAUGACGUAAGUCCAAAGAUUUAUCGCCGAGGGAUGAGCCCGCGUAAGAUUAGCUUGUUGGUGAGGUAAAGGCUCACCAAGGCUACGAUCUUUAGCUGGUCUGAGAGGAUGAUCAGCCACACUGGGACUGAGACACGGCCCAGACUCCUACGGGAGGCAGCAGUGGGGAAUAUGGACAAUGGGCGAAAGCCUGAUCCAGCAAUGCCGCGUGAGUGAUGAAGGCUUAGGUUGUAAAGCUCUUUACCGGGAUGAUAAUGACAGUACCGGAGAAGUAAGCUCCGCUAACUCCGCGCCAGCAGCCGC